Long non-coding RNA from Zalophus californianus (California sea lion), 1670 nucleotides. The record is from Ensembl. NCBI's taxonomy places the organism in Eukaryota, Metazoa, Chordata, Mammalia, Carnivora, Otariidae.
CAGGCCAUCCACCCUGGAGGGGAGGGGAUUCCACAGGGAUGUGUGACCAGGAUUCAGGGGUAUUAGGGGCCACUGUGGGGACUGCCCAGCACACGGGCACAGACGAGGCCCUGGGACCCGAGCCUAACCCUAAUGGGAGCCUCUAGAAGUCUGUGUUGGGAGAGGACAAGGUCAGAAUCAGUUCAUUACUACCUUCCCACGGGGGCUGGGACACAAGCGGGGGGGGGGGGUGGCUUUGCCUGGACCCCAGAGCAGGCCCAAGCCCCUCUGAGCUGUGUUCCAUGCCAAGCCCAGCUCCUGGCUCAUCCUUGCUUUGCGAAGUAUGCACCAGCCUCCUGUGAUAGCAGACAGCCCUCUGCCCGGCUCAUUUCGUUGGAGAUCCUCAAACCAAGAUGUUCGCAUGUUGCCUUCCGAGGUCUGGAGGCUGCAGGCUGAAGAUAGUGCGCCCUGUAGACGCUGUCCCCCGCUGGGGAUUUCAUGUCAGGGCUCCCCACCGCCGCUGGCCAUUUGGCCGGAAGGACAGAAAGAAGGCCACGGAGGACAUGGAGAGGCAGCUGGCAGACAUGCCCUCCUCCCUGACAGAGGGGUUGACCCCACAGGCAUCCCGAGAAACAGGUGCUGGGGAUUGCCGGGCAAGACCUCUGACACCACGCGGACCACUGUCCGGUGGUCCAGGAGCCGGAGCCCACGGAGGCCGAGGCCGAGGUUGCUCCACCACCUGAGGAGCUAGAGCCAGAUCUGGUGGGAGGGCUGGUGACUGCAGUGACUUCAGGAGGAGACCAGGAGCCGGCAGGUGACCCGGCACCUGCCCACGGAGAGCCUGGCGCUGUCCAGGAAGAACUGGCACCUGCUCCUGCGCCAGCCCCUGCCCUGCUACAGUUCCUGCCACUCCCCCUUCCCCCACCCCACCCCAGCCCCUGCCUUGGACCCAGAUCCUGACGCGGCUCUUGCCCCUUCCCUUACCCGUGCCUCUGCCUUUGCCCCAGCCCCUGCCCCUGCCUGUGCUCUUGUUCCUGCCCCUGCCCCUGCCCCUGUUCCUGCUCCUGUCCCUGCCAGAGCCACUGCCCCUGACCCAGAUCCUACCCUUGCUCCUGCCCCUGUCCAUACUCCUUCCAGAGCCACUGCCCCUUCCCCUGCCCCUGCCAGGGGUCCCGUUCCUGCCCCUGACCCAGAUCCUGUCCCUGCUCCUGCCCUAGAUCCUGCACCUGCCACUGCUGCUGACCCUGUCCCUCCCCUUGCCCCUGCCCCUGCUCUUACCUCUGUCCCUGCCCCUGUCCCUGCCCCUAUCCUGAGCCCUUCCCCUACUCCUGCUCCUGCAGGGCUCCCAGUCCUGUCCCUGCUCCUGCCCUAGAUCCUGCACCUGCCACUGCUGCUGACCCUGUCCCUCCCCUUGCCCCUGCCCCUGCCCUUACCUCUGUCCCUGCCCCUAUCCUGAGCCCUGCCCCUACUCCUGCUCCUGCAGGGCUCCCAAAGCCACAUCCGGAGCCCACAGCCCUGCAAGGAGAGCUCCUUGUACAAUUACCCUUAGUUCCAUCGCCGGAACCCGAGACCCCGCCCGAUUGUUUCAUCCCCUCCCCCUGUGUUCUUUCUCUCUGGUACAUAUUAACUGUUAUUUCAUCCUUCCAUGUCCUAUAUACUGUUUAUUAUUUGUUUUAAAUAAAAUUACUUGU